GACGAACGCUGGCGGCGUGCCUAAUACAUGCAAGUCGAACGAACUCUGGUAUUGAUUGGUGCUUGCAUCAUGAUUUGCAUUUGAGUGAGUGGCGAACUGGUGAGUAACACGUGGGAAACCUGCCCAGAAGCGGGGGACAACACCUGGAAACAGAUGCUAAUACCGCAUAACAACUUGGACCGCAUGGUCCGAGUUUGAAAGAUGGCUUCGGCUAUCACUUUUGGAUGGUCCCGCGGCGUAUUAGCUAGAUGGUGGGGUAACGGCUCACCAUGGCAAUGAUACGUAGCCGACCUGAGAGGGUAAUCGGCCACAUUGGGACUGAGACACGGCCCAAACUCCUACGGGAGGCAGCAGUAGGGAAUCUUCCACAAUGGACGAAAGUCUGAUGGAGCAACGCCGCGUGAGUGAGGAAGGGUUUCGGCUCGUAAAACUCUGUUGUUAAAGAAGAACAUAUCUGAGAGUAACUGUUCAGGUAUUGACGGUAUUUAACCAGAAAGCCACGGCUAACUACGUGCCAGCAGCCGCGGUAAUACGUAGGUGGCAAGCGUUGUCCGGAUUUAUUGGGCGUAAAGCGAGCGCAGGCGGUUUUUUAAGUCUGAUGUGAAAGCCUUCGGCUCAACCGAAGAAGUGCAUCGGAAACUGGGAACUUGAGUGCAGAAGAGGACAGUGGAACUCCAUGUGUAGCGGUGAAAUGCGUAGAUAUAUGGAAGAACACCAGUGGCGAAGGCGGCUGUCUGGUCUGUAACUGACGCUGAGGCUCGAAAGUAUGGGUAGCAAACAGGAUUAGAUACCCUGGUAGUCCAUACCGUAAACGAUGAAUGCUAAGUGUUGGAGGGUUUCCGCCCUUCAGUGCUGCAGCUAACGCAUUAAGCAUUCCGCCUGGGGAGUACGGCCGCAAGGCUGAAACUCAAAGGAAUUGACGGGGGCCCGCACAAGCGGUGGAGCAUGUGGUUUAAUUCGAAGCUACGCGAAGAACCUUACCAGGUCUUGACAUACUAUGCAAAUCUAAGAGAUUAGACGUUCCCUUCGGGGACAUGGAUACAGGUGGUGCAUGGUUGUCGUCAGCUCGUGUCGUGAGAUGUUGGGUUAAGUCCCGCAACGAGCGCAACCCUUAUUAUCAGUUGCCAGCAUUAAGUUGGGCACUCUGGUGAGACUGCCGGUGACAAACCGGAGGAAGGUGGGGAUGACGUCAAAUCAUCAUGCCCCUUAUGACCUGGGCUACACACGUGCUACAAUGGAUGGUACAACGAGUUGCAAACUCGCGAGAGUAAGCUAAUCUCUUAAAGCCAUUCUCAGUUCGGAUUGUAGGCUGCAACUCGCCUACAUGAAGUCGGAAUCGCUAGUAAUCGCGGAUCAGCAUGCCGCGGUGAAUACGUUCCCGGGCCUUGUACACACCGCCCGUCACACCAUGAGAGUUUGUAACACCCAAAGUCGGUGGGGUAACCUUUUAGGAACCAGCCGCCUAAGGUGGGACAGAUGAUUAGGGUGAAG
This 1491-nucleotide ribosomal RNA is filed under the name Lactiplantibacillus pentosus. RNAcentral describes it as "bacterial SSU rRNA". It matches the Rfam family "Bacterial small subunit ribosomal RNA". The record is from RNAcentral. Lineage: Bacteria; Bacillati; Bacillota; Bacilli; Lactobacillales; Lactobacillaceae.